Flammeovirga sp. SJP92 is the source of this 41-nucleotide regulatory RNA element. It matches the Rfam family "DUF805b RNA". Rfam says of the family: Bacteroidetes, Chlorobi (1 example), Proteobacteria. Lineage (Flavobacteria) The record is from Rfam. NCBI's taxonomy places the organism in Bacteria, Pseudomonadati, Bacteroidota, Cytophagia, Cytophagales, Flammeovirgaceae.
AAGGCGGAAUCCGAAAAGCCUAUUUUUAAAUUGAGUAGGAA